RNAcentral lists this long non-coding RNA (691 nucleotides) under Marmota monax (woodchuck). The record is from RNAcentral. Lineage: Eukaryota; Metazoa; Chordata; Mammalia; Rodentia; Sciuridae.
GGAACAGUAGAAAUCAUUUAGGGUUCUCCAUCCGCUCCCUUUCUCCUAUCCUGGAGACAUCCAUACUCACAGAAGCUGUCAACUUAUUUAUAUGUCCCUUAUUCUGAAGAGUAUUCAAGACACUGGAUAACUGGGUAAAAAGAUUUAGUACCUGACAUGGAACAACUGUGAUCAUUGUAAAUGACAUUUUCCACAUUCCAGAAUAUGAAGAGUCCAAGUUGUCCCUAUUUUGAAACUGAGUCAAAGAGCCAAUGAAAUAUUCAGAAAGUCAACUUUUGGCAAUAAAAUCUUCCUGGAGUAAAAUCAGGGGUUAAAUAUAACCAUGAGUAGAGCCUAUUUUCUCACUCUAAAGAUAGUUUUCAUAACCAAACACUUUGCACAUGGACCUCCUUUUUACUUUUUGCAUUAAAUACAUACUAUGCCUCCAACUUGUGAUCCUCCUGCCUCAGCCUCUCAAGUAGCUAGAAUUACAGGCGUGUACCACCUCACCGGCUUGCAUUUCAUCUUUUAAGAAACACCCUUACUUCAUCCUGCUACAAUUUAAACACCAAUUUUAGUGUAUCAUUUCAUGAUUUCUAAUAAAUUGACAGAGUUGUGCAGCCAUCCCCACAAUCUAGUUUUAAAACAUUUCCCUCAUCCUAGAGAGAUUCCUCAUGCCACUUCCUGUUACCAUCCAUCCCCAGCCCUAGAC